RNAcentral lists this long non-coding RNA (4759 nucleotides) under Fukomys damarensis (Damara mole-rat). RNAcentral's name for it is "lncRNA (ENSFDAG00000022837.1)". The record is from RNAcentral. Lineage: Eukaryota; Metazoa; Chordata; Mammalia; Rodentia; Bathyergidae.
UGCAAAUAUCCCGUUUGUCUUGAACACUGGGCUCACUGAUUUUAGCAAGAUCGGUGUGGAUCUCGCCAGCAGCAGUUUUUAUUGCUGUGUCAUUCUAAUGUUAAAGGAGGAAUAUUUCAAAGCUCAUUUGAAGGAAGUUCAGAGGCUGCGCAGCUGUGGGGUUGGCUCACGGCCUCAAGUCAGGUCCUCAAGUGCCAAUACACCGUUCUUCUCUGCUGUUCUCAAUGUGUCCAUCUCUGUCCUCAGAUUCCCCUUCCAUGGUGGCCACAGUCACACACACGGACAUCGUCCAACUUAGGAAGAUGGCAUCUUCCUCCCCGUGUCUCUUAACCAGAAAGCAAAGAAUUUCCCAGAACCACUUCCACUCUCUGCAAACUUCCCUCACAUCCUGUUCAGAAGGAUCUGGGUCACCAGCCUGCGACCAAGUUGCAAAGAAGGGUUAUGAAGUGAACUACCUCCAUCCUGGCCAGUGCCCCCAGAUCCUACUCUUCCAUGAGGUAGAAAGGAACCAUCCUUUUCUGACUUUUGUGGAAGAAAUACUUUCAGACGAGAGCGACAAGAAGCUCAACCACGGUGGCAAGUACAAACACGAAUCUACUUUUUCUCCAUAUUAGAAACCCGGAGGUAGGCACCUCUGCUAUUGAUUCUGAAGCCCAACGUUGUUGAGGCAAAUAGUUCUGAUAUUCUCUUGACUUUUCUCCAAUUAACAAUCAAGACAAGGAUGAGGGAGACAAGCGUGUCAGUGUCAGGAGAGUGAAGCGUUCUCAGGAGCCCCACCGACCUGCAUUUACACUCAAGUCACACGGCCACUUCUGUCUGCGAAGUGGAUGACAAAUGGGGGUUUGGGAGCGAGGAGUGAGUCAGCAGUGGACAGCGUCAGCCUGGCAGCCCCUGGUACAGAGUAGGAAGAAUCUCAGUAGUUCUUUGUAAAAGUCUGUUGACUGCAUACAGCAGGUGUUUAUCCACAGGUAUUCAGGGCUCCUCCAUCCACAGGGUAAAGUACCUGUGUCCUGCUGAGCUCAAGCAUUUGAAUUUUCUAUCGUCCCUGAAGUAGGCGUAGAAGUGGCAGUAAGAGCCAGGCUCUUCCUUCUGUGAACACGCCAGUCUGUCAGGCCAGGCUGUGCAUCAGCUCGACCCUGUGGUGACCUCCGAGACCGUCCAGUGUAUCCAUUAUGAGCGCAUGACGUGAGCACGGAUUAACGUUUGUUAUUUAAGUUGUUUGUUACUGUAGCCCGACUUACCCUAUUCUGACUAACACAGUGCCUGUACCAGGUUACAGAGAAGUCCGUAACAAAUUCUGUGCCUUAAAACUUUGCUGAUAUUUGCUGAUCACAUUAAUAAGAAGAACAUGCCUAAAUGAUAAGGUAAAUGAUAGCCACUAGAAAUUUAAACAGCCAAAAAUAACUCUCUUAUCCAAACAGAAAUCGGUACUAAUAGAGGAGUCUAUUUAAACAUCGAAGAGAAUGGGCUACUGUAUAAAAUACAUGUAGGGGUGUCAUUAAAGUUAUUCUUAGCAAAAUCCAUGCUGUAAAGCUGUUAUUACUAAAAUAAACAUGCUUAACUGUUUAAAGGUUGAAAAUAAUUGAACUUAGUAGAAAAUGAACAGCAAAGUAAACAAAGUCAGAGGAAGCAAUUCAUACGGUUAAGAGCGUACAUUAAUCAUGAAGCAAAAAGUCAAUGAGACUGGUGAUACAUGAAGACUCAGAACUUUAAAUCAAUAAAAUAGGUAAGUCUGGAAAGUUGACUUCCUCUAAAACAGGAGAAAACAUUCCAUGUAAGUUAUGAGGAAAGGACAGGGUACAACAGUACAUCUGUGUGGUUUGAUGCAGCUGUCAAAAUGUAAAAUACACACACCUUGAAAAAUGAUGAGUAUAUAAAUGUUGGACUGAACUGGACGAAGUUCUCCAGUUGAAGACUUGUGAGAAGAUACGACGCUUCGCAAUACUUGUGGGCGACUGGACCUGCUGAGAAGGGAUGAGGUGGACACGCUUCUCCACCAGACUGGAGAAGGGUGCGGCUCAGGCCUUCCGGGCUCAUGGAUGGGCCACGUGACGUGGUCCCCAGUAUUUAUGGACCCGGAACAGGGGAACAGUCCUGAAGUCUCUCUUUCUUGUUCUCAUUCAGGACCCCAGAGCACCCCAAGCUUUGCGGGCGGCCCCAGGAUGCCUGACCCAUUUGCGGAAUUGACUCCUGACUGGUGCUUCAGGGAAAGCACCUUGGCUCAGCUUGCUUUUCCGCAUGCUGCAAAGCAGGGCUCUUUCUGAGCUCAGGGGAAGCUCCCUCUUCUGUCACCAUUUUGCCCCAAAUUUAGAAGAAUUAGCACUUGGGGACGGGAGGCUGAGUCUUACCCUGAGCUCUGGACCUGUCCACAUUUCUUCUUUAAUGCCCUGACUCCUAGAAUGCAAAGUACGAAUGCGUCCAGAUUCCUGAUCUAGAGUAAAUUGGGACUGAUUAGAGUUUAUUGCUAGAAAUAAUGACAUACCAUUCAUUUGUGAAUAUUCAUGUGUAUUCAUUUUACACAUUCUCUCAAAAAUAUUUCUUUGUCCAUCUACUUAUUGCUGGGCAUCGUACUGGCCUCGGGAGACUCCGUAGUGUGCCGGUUAAUCUUAACUGGUGACUGGACCAAGAGACUGCUGGAGAGGUGAUUGGAUCUUGGAGGUGCUAUGCUCACUGGUGGAUUAACCCGCUGACGUUCACAGUUGAAUGUGCUGUCGGGAGGAGGUGAGUCGUGGGGUGAACCUUUGGAUGGUGCCUCUCUCUCUGGCAUCUUCCCAGCCUCUACUUCCUGGCCACUGUGAAGUGAGCAGCUGUGUUGCACCAGUGUCUCUUUUCCAUGGUAUUCCUGCCAUGGAGCCAGAUGACCAGUAUAGGAAACCAUUUUUUCUUUUAAAAAAAAUCCUUUCCCUCCUGGAGCUAACAUUUUUCAUUUGUUUGUUUGUUUGUUUGUUUUUUGUGACAGGGUCUCACUAUGUAGUUGAGACUGACCUGGAACAUAGUGAUAUGUAGCCCAGGCUGGUCUCACACUCACGGAGAUCCUCCUGCCUCAGCCUCCUGAGUGCUGGGAUUACAGGCGUGCGCCACCACGCCCAGCAUGGAGCUAACAUUUUUGAAGGGGAGACAAGCAAUAAACAAAGCAAAUGGGUUAAGUAAAAUGUAUAUCAGAUGGUAGCAAGGUCUGUGGAGAAAAGGAGAUGAGAAUGGAGGUUAGGAUAUAUGGGGUUUUAAGCUAAGAAGUUAAAGACCCCACUGACGGGACGUUUGAGUAAAGAAGGAGUGAGGAAGCCAUACAGAUUUCUGGGGGAGAGAGAUGUUGCAGUGCCAGGAAAUGACCAGCUGAAAACGCCCAGAGGAAGCGUGUGAAGAGCACUCAACGGACCAGCAAGUUCAGAGCUGCAGCAGGAGUGAAGGGCAGAGUGGCAGGAGGUGGGGUCGGGGGCGCCACGGGUGGACGGCACUGUGAGACAGAGCCUUGGCUGUUUCCGGAGUGAGCCGUGAGCCAGGGUCCCGAGCAGGGCAGGGGCUGUGUUCCUGUGGCUGCUGUGCGGAGCAGACUCGGGACGCUUGGACACGCGGGGGGCGGGUGUGGAGGUUUCUCCGGUAACCCGGGUGAGGUGAUGAAAGUGCUGGUCCCUGGGGGUGCUGGAGAUCGUGCUGCAGAGGGGGUGCAGAGGUGGAGCGGCAUCUUCAGUGACUCCAACGACAGCUUUUAAUGUCAAGAACCCGUGCUUUCCAUAGGAAACCGCCCAUGACAGCGCGAUCUCUACACCUCGUCUGUCAUCCGCCUCCUGCCUCUCCAAGCCUCUGCAUGAGAUCACCUCUGAAAGCUGAUUCCUGGAACUCAACCAUUCUCCCUCCAGAGGGCUCUGCUUCCCAUGCUUGGGCUGGAAAACAAAAAGAAGGCAAGCAGAAAGUGAGGCAGGGCUCAUUUGAAUUCUGCCUCAGUCCCCUUGCUCUCUUCAGUGACAGCCAAAAAAAUUCCUGUGUUACUUGCUCAAUGAAAAGCAAUAUUUAAUUAGGGCUGAGAGAGUUAGACAAGCAAACAAUUAAACGUUCUAUUACGAUCCGUCGUGAGCCAUUUAAGCUUCAGUUCAAUAAAGAAUCGUUAUAAAGGUCUCAUAGAAGUGAAAAUAUAAACAGAGUAAAUUUGCGUUGCAUUUGCACCGUUGCCUCAGGUCGCAGAAUCUGAAGGCAGCUUGACUGUGUGGAUGAAGUCUCCCAGCCCCAAGGGGCUCAGCUCGGACCUGAGGAAGGCGGAAGGCAGGCACAUCCACCUGCUGGCUGGGGAGGCAGGUGAGGGAGGAGAGGAGCCUGUUGGCUAAGCUGGUUUGGACCAGAGCAACAGGGAUCUUUUCAUCUUAUUUUUAAUGUCUGAGAAGCAACGUGAAUAUUCUGCCUGCAAGGGAGAAGCAGCUUAAAAGAAACUCCUGAGUGUCUUAUGAGAUGCUGGAUUAUAGAAUAAGUAUGUCUAAUAAAGUCCCCCUUGGUCCUGCAGCUUUGAGGAUUUAGAAGGAACUUCAGUCUGUUUGGGGAGGCUUUGCUUCACUGUAACCAGAGAGACAGCCGCAGGGGGUCCCGCAGUCACACGCAGGGCCGUGGGUGAAAGUGCCAUCUUCCCCGAGGCGAGGCCCUGAAGCCGGGACCCCUCCGGGCCUCGGGCACAGACGCAAGCUCAGGCUGCCUCGCCUCACCUCCUCUCAGGGAGCUGUCUCUGCCCCAGGAGUUUCAGUGUCCUGUGGGACACCCAGUGUGUCAUGGGAGC